RNAcentral lists this small nucleolar RNA (97 nucleotides) under Mustela putorius furo (domestic ferret). Its description in RNAcentral is "Small nucleolar RNA U13 (ENSMPUG00000022890.1)". It matches the Rfam family "Small nucleolar RNA U13". Lineage: Eukaryota; Metazoa; Chordata; Mammalia; Carnivora; Mustelidae. The record is from Rfam by way of RNAcentral.
AUCCUUUUGUAGUUCAUAAGCAUGAAGAUAGGGUGUUCACACAGUUGUAUGACACGUGCCUCACUCAAACCCUGUUACAUCUGCACCCUAUCUGAUG